This is a small nuclear RNA of 113 nucleotides. Its record names the gene U5. It matches the Rfam family "U5 spliceosomal RNA". From Rfam's summary of the family: U5 RNA is a component of both types of known spliceosome. The precise function of this molecule is unknown, though it is known that the 5' loop is required for splice site selection and p220 binding, and that both the 3' stem-loop and the Sm site are important for Sm protein binding and cap methylation. The record is from Ensembl.
UCACUUGGGCCUCUCUUCAUCACGUACAAAUCUUUCACGUACAAGAUUUCCGUGGAGAGGGGCGUCAACAAGCUCACAGUAUUUUUGGGGGCUCUGUUUUGUUUCUACGGGGC